RNAcentral lists this long non-coding RNA (1283 nucleotides) under Cyanistes caeruleus (blue tit). RNAcentral describes it as "lncRNA (ENSCCEG00000009264.1)". Lineage: Eukaryota; Metazoa; Chordata; Aves; Passeriformes; Paridae. The record is from RNAcentral.
GGCACGGCCCUGCAGGCGGAGAGAGAGGCGCUGGGUCAGUGCGGCCGCCCCCGCCCUCCCCCGGCGGGUGUGCGCCGGGGACGAGCUGCUCGGCCCGGGGAAGACGAGGCGGUGCCCGCCGAGACGAGAGCGGAAGGCCGUGCGUGAGCGUCGAAAGUUUUUCACUCUCCGGAGGAGCCGCGUCCUUCAGGGCGGGUUGCGAAACGCCUUUUCCCUGCGUCCUGUUUCUAGCACAGUGGAAGUAAGCUCCAGCCCGUCACAGCUUUCUUGCCAACUGCUCUAAGAAGUUCAAAGCCCACUGGUGCAACUAGUAAGCAUGGGGGAAAGCUUGGGUACUGAACUGGCUUCUGGAGGAACUUGAGCUUAAGGAUGAAAUAUGGAAAAUGCUACAGUUUUUGCCAUAGACAGCACCAAAACAGACCUGUGUGAAUGGAGUUCCUGUGGUUAGCAAGUGUGCUUGGCUUCCUGCUACCAUGCAGCUUUGAUAGAAGCCUAGAGGAGUGUUGCGUGUGGACCAGCUUUGAGCAGCUUGCUAAUUAAUGGUGCUCUGCAGAAAUGUCAGGAUCAUAUUUGGACACUGAUGACUUCAGCCAAAACUGCUGAAGGCUGUUGCUAAGUCUGGCUGUUGACCAGCUGUUAGCAGCUUGCAGGCUGAUGAUCAGUACUUAGCUUAGUGUGUCUGUGCCACACCACUUGUGACAAACGGUAGUGACAUUGGAGAGAUCAUAAAUGCUAAGUCUGAAUUGCACAUCCAUCUGGUCACUGGAAACAGCUGGCAUGCUGGCUUCACAAGCACUCUGUCAACUGCUUCAGUCCUUUGCAGGUUUGGUUUAUAAAAUACUUGUUUCCAUUGUGUUUGCUUCCUAAAACCAGGCAAAACCAAUGGUUUUGCAGCACUGGUUUGGAAAUCCACAUUUGUUCUUUGCAUCGUAUAUAGACCACAUACCUUUGUGAUACAGCACCUGUUUUGUCAGUCUGUAUUUGCAGGAUGUCACAGACAAAUAUACCCAUCCCUUAAACAUGUAGCUGUAGUGCGCUUUUUUUUCCCCUGAAAAAAAAUAGUUAUGUGCUAGACCUUAAUGGUGGUUGAUUGCUACGUACGAAAGGUACUUCUGCUUAGCCUUCAGUGUCUGUGGAUGUUUUAUGUGAUGUAAUAUGGAGAUUGAUGCUGGCAAGGGAGCAUGUGGUACUUUGUUCUGUGAUGUUUCUCAGUGAAAAUUUAUCCUGGUAACAAAUAUAGGCUUUAUCAGGAUUGGUUUUAAGUUUGGGCAAAGUAAACAGAU